This 257-nucleotide ribosomal RNA is filed under the name uncultured bacterium. RNAcentral's name for it is "partial 16S ribosomal RNA". It matches the Rfam family "Bacterial small subunit ribosomal RNA", at positions 98 to 353 of the family's 1533-position model. The record is from RNAcentral.
ACGCACGGGUGAGUAACACGUAUUCAACCUGCCGUCUACUCUUGGACAGCCUUCUGAAAGGAAGAUUAAUACAAGAUGGCAUCAUGAGUCCGCAUGUUCACAUGAUUAAAGGUAUUCCGGUAGACGAUGGGGAUGCGUUCCAUUAGAUAGUAGGCGGGGUAACAGCCCACCUAGUCUUCGAUGGAUAGGGGUUCUGAGAGGAAGGUCCCCCACAUUGGAACUGAGACACGGUCCAAACUCCUACGGGAGGCAGCAUG